AAGUCGUAACAAGGUUUCCGUAGGUGAACCUGCGGAAGGAUCAUUCAUAAUCAAGUGUUUUUAUGGCACUUUCAAAAAUCCAUAUCCACCUUGUGUGCAAUGUCAUCUCACUGGAGGUCAACGGCUGUAAAAAUCCGUUGGUCACCUUUGGGAUUUAUAUCUACUCAGAACUUUAGUGAUUUUGUCUGAAACAUAUUAUGAAUACUUAAUUCAAAAUACAACUUUCAACAACGGAUCUCUUGGCUCUC
RNAcentral lists this unclassified non-coding RNA (248 nucleotides) under Linnemannia amoeboidea. RNAcentral's name for it is "Mortierella amoeboidea partial internal transcribed spacer region". The stretch from base 1 to 46 matches the Rfam family "Eukaryotic small subunit ribosomal RNA", at positions 1786 to 1831 of the family's 1831-position model. The record is from RNAcentral. Lineage: Eukaryota; Fungi; Mortierellomycota; Mortierellomycetes; Mortierellales; Mortierellaceae. RNAcentral also lists the same sequence under 2 other names.